GUCUGGUUAGCUCAGUUGGUAGAGUGUGGGACUCUUAAUCCAAGGGUCAUGGGUUUGAGACUCAUUUUGGACA
This 73-nucleotide transfer RNA is filed under the name Loxodonta africana (African savanna elephant). It matches the Rfam family "tRNA". From Rfam's summary of the family: Transfer RNA (tRNA) molecules are approximately 80 nucleotides in length. Lineage: Eukaryota; Metazoa; Chordata; Mammalia; Proboscidea; Elephantidae. The record is from Rfam by way of RNAcentral.